CCACAAUGACUAACCAGUUACUGGUCAUGUUCCGGAUGACCAUUCUUCAAAUAUUUCGUAAUUGAAAUUAGAUCUGUUCAUAUCAUUCUUUAUAGUACAGUUUAAUACUUUACAGAAAAAGCUGCUAAAUGAACAUGUAAUCUGCCAAUUGAAAUAAAGCUAAGUGAAAAAUUGAAGUAAAAGUAAACAUAAAGAAAUCUGUAACUGCACGCUUUAACUGAAGUUGCCCAGUGAACAAAAUAAACACAGCAUAGAAUCAAACAUGGCAAAUUGAAGAGCGCAUAGCUUUGAACUAAACCUUCUAAUUAAAAAAUUAUUCAUACACAGUAGGGAAAUAAUUGUACAAGGAAAUGCUGCAGGUAUCCAUUCAUUGCGACGAUUCAACGUCCAACCAGAUACAGACAAGUAAUUACCAGAUACAUACUAAAGCAACAUUUCAGUCAUCAAGUAUUUACGAUGAUUGUGGACAAAAUUAGGAUUACAACAAGUAUUACUUCACAUAAUCUGCAGCAUCAUUUAUAAAAAAACCAUUUAUAUCAAACUAAAAAGCAUAUAAUUCAUUGAGUCUGCGGUUGUGUGUCUAUCCCCAUAUCUGGAUCUUCUUUUGCUGUUGAUAGCAUAACACUUCGUCUUUUUCUUGCCCAUAAGAACAUUACUGGCAUUGCAGUUCUAGAGUUCAAUUUACCAUAAUACGUGAAAAAAAUUUCGACGGGAAACUUCACCAGUAAUCAAGAAUUUGACAUUAACAUCAACAAUGAAUUGAUCAAUUUUCUUGAACUAGCUAGAUUUCAACCAGAUCAUCCAGAAAGAAUAGAAGUACAACUGAAAUUAAAUAAUCAGAAAGUUCAGUGUCAUGUUUAUAAUUCUAAAUUUGAUCCUCUAUUUCAUAAGGUCAAAACUUAGAUUUUCACAAAAAAAAAUAUUUAAAAACGAUAAAGCUAGUACUCAAGAAUGCUUCUACGCGAUUUAUUCAUGUUACUUGUUUCGGAAUUAUCUUUAGCUGAACCAUCCAUGUGCACAUCUUCAAGAAUGGUCAACAAUUGUGGAUUGUUUGUUUACAAACUUCGUGGCAUAAAAUUGGGGAUUAGGGUUCACAGACUUCGUUACUUCUCAGCUAUUGGGGAUUAGGUAAUUAGGGGGUUCACAGAUAUCGCGACAUAGAACAAUUGAUUUCGGAAAAAUUGUUUGGGAUUAUAGAUCUUAGAGUCGUGCUUUCUGUAAUUUGUAAAUUCGUGUUUGGAAGCUGUCUUUACUGAUGUGGCUGUGAGUUGGCAGGAUAGUUAUUAUUUGGACUGAUUUAGCUGGCAAGCUCAUCUUUCCAUCAUCCAUGUCCGCGCACCUAUUGUUAGAAAAUUAAUCAACACCGG
Molecule: long non-coding RNA, 1367 nt
Filed under: Olea europaea subsp. europaea
Lineage: Eukaryota; Viridiplantae; Streptophyta; Magnoliopsida; Lamiales; Oleaceae
Source: RNAcentral